CCAGGAGGUACUGUUUUCAGAUGAGAAGCAGCAAAAGGAAUAUGCAGACAAUGCGGUUCUGCAGCUUUUCAGAUCUGCAUGGGUUUCAUCAGCCACAAGCGACAGACAAAGGGAAAAAGGAAACAGCCAUGGCAAGUUAAGAAACAUAGCAAUGCAGAAAAAUAAUCUGGUUGCUCCUGAACAACAAGAUGGUAUUGGGUCCCACAACAUUAUCGUGCUGGCAGCCAUGUCUGUAUCUCACAUGAAGGAAAAGCAUUUCAAAACCUGUUACUCAGGAGGGGGAAAGAGAAAGUGAAGAGUUUUGGGAGUAAACAGAUUUCUUCGCUUGGCUGCAGACCAAAAGAGAGUAUACAAAACAGGGCUUACAGGCUAUUAAGAUGAUAAUUGCUUAUAGAACUGCUAAAGCAUGACAUCACUUCAGACUAGUUCACCUGAGAAAUUCAACUUCAGUAAGCCCGAAGAGUGACUGAAAUAAAUUAGGAGAUCUGAAAGAUUCAGAAUUGCAUCAAGCCUAGAUGAGCAAGAGGAAGCGAAUCAGAUAAAUACGUUAAUACACACAUGGUGACGGAUGAGGCAGAUGACAUUUUAUGCUUCUUUAAAUUGACUGAUGAAGAUGAGAAAAAUUAGAAAUAUCUGUGGACAAGUUCAAGAACCUCUUCUAGCACAGACUAAACGGGAAUCUUAAGGAGAGGCUAUCAAGCAUAGGCAUAGUAAGAAGAAAAGUUUCCCUACAAAAAAAAUACAGUGGUGCCUCUGAAAGGUUCAGUGGGACAUAUGAAGCUCUGCAAGGUGAAGUGAGAUCCAGGAACAACAUGGAAGAUCUAACAAGAAGAAUAAAGAUAAGGGCUUUUCAGCAAAGGGAUUUACAUUUGCACAUUAACAUAGCCAUGCUUUGUAAAAAGGGUUUGUGAGAAAUUGUGAUAGAAAAACAAUCUAUGUGGGAAAAUGGCACGAUUCAAUUAAAGCUGGUCUGAUCUGAAAAAGAAACACAUAAAGCUGUAUUAUGACUGAAAGUAUGGCAUUAUGUGUCCUAGGAUCUAAAAGAGGUUUCGAAAUAUUGCAUAGGAAAAAAAAAUAAAAGACCUUAUUAUCAAGGUCAUUUUUUAUUACCAUUUGGCCAGCUUUAGAAAUGAGUAUGGAGGCACGGAGUGUUCUAGUGACUUUUGUCAAUCAGCCUGAAUGUGGAAUCCAGAUGGCAUUUCAUUCAUAAUCAAGUUGUGGCAUUUUGGCUCUAUUCCUGAAUUAUCCAAAGUUAUGACUUUCUGCUCCAUAUCAGCUAGGAAGAAAAACAUCUCCCAAAAAAUGAGUGCAAAUAUGUAAGGAUGAUAAAAUUUACUUUGUUCCAAAUGUUAGCUGCACUGGAAUUCCUGUCUAAGGAAUGUACAGAAAUUGUGCUUGUAUCUAUUGCCAUGUUAACUUCAUUAUAGGGGCAGUCAAUCCAAUAGGCUUUGAAUAAGUCCCUGCAAUGUUUUCCUCCUGAAACAUUUGGAUUAUUUUUAAGAAAAUUCUGAUACGGCUUUUCUUCAGCUUUUCCAUGAACAGCUAAUGGGUUGGUUUCUGUACAUUUGGAAUACAGGCAUCCAGGUGAAUCAGCACCUCUCCCUGUCUGGAGAGGUGGAUUAAUAGAAUUCAGUGCUGUCCACAAAGAUUAAACCAGAUCAUGUGUAGUGACAGCAAAAUAAAUACCAUAUAACAGGAGCUGCAGCAGAUGAGACAUGGCCUAUCUGUCUAGUCAAGCAGGAGAAAAGACACUGCAGCAUCAUGUCAAGGAAGCAAGCUCAAGGCAUCAAUUUAGGGAAAAAAAAAUACCCAACAAGGAGCGGGUGCCUUUUGAAAUGUUGUGUCACUUUGUCUUCAUUUUGCUUUUUGAAUGAGAAUACUUACUCUAAAAAUUCACCUGUUCUAAGAUGAGUUCUGGAAACAAUCUGCUCCACAGUCUAAAACACUAUUUUCUCUAUUCAGCAGAGCACAUAUUUUUUCUUUUUUUUUUUAAUUUUAUAUUCAUUCUAUAGAUUUCCCUGAUUAGUACCCAAAGAAUGACAGUGAAACUAAUCUUCAUCUGCAUUUUAUGAAAUCAUGACAGCUUGAUAUUACUGCAAUGGGACAUUUCACAGGGUACUGUGGGGGCACUGUUUAUACCACUGACACAGAAUAAUGCAGUGUUUUUAGCAGUGCAGAUCAUCAAAUUCAGGUAAUUAUCACUGCCACAUGCUUUCCUGAACAUAACAAUAUUAAACAGCAUAAUUUAAAAUGCUAGCAUGCUUCUGAAUAUGUCUUUUUAAAACAGCAUCUGAUUUUCAGAUUAUUUGCAUGAGAAUUAUGAAAGUAAAGGAAAAGUUCAGUUCCUGGGUUAAAAAAAAAAUAAAGAAAAAUAAACUGUGAGCAGAAGAAUAAUUUUUUGUGUUAUUUUAUUAAAAAUAUAGAAAGAAAAAAAAGGAAAAAAAUCCAUGAGAAGGAUCAGCUUUUCUUCCCAACCAUAUGGUGUGUGAGAGCAUUAGUUAUGGUAAAACAUUACUUAUAUUUAAUGUCUUUUCUCUUUGACUUGAUAGAGAGUCAGUAGAGAAGUUCAAAAACCAUAUAAAAAGAAAAAGAGGACUUUGUAAAAAAUGGUUUAAGGUUUUAGUACUUUAUUUUCUGCUCCCUAUUUGGACUGAACUUCUUCCCUGAAUUUUUCUCAACUUUGUGAAUAAUUUUGAAAUACAUAAAACUGUAUUUUUUUAGAAUUUUAUUAUUACUAGAAAUAAAAUGAACACUACUAUAUCCAAAAUUCUGCAGAAAAAAUGGGGGAAAUAGUAUACUGGGAACUCUUAAAGCAGACGUAUUUUAGCUGUUUCAAUACUGAUUUAAAUGUCUAAGUUUAUGCAUCAAUAAAUGAAAAUCCUCAACAUAAUCUUCCAAAGUUUUAUUCUGCUAAUAUUUAAAUCCAGAUUAAGGAAAUUUGCUGGCAUAAAUAUAACUGGAGUUGCCAUAUGUCGUGUAAGGUAUGCAAUUUCAUAUUUUGUUUAUCUUUUACAUUAACUUUGGAACUUAUUCUGGGUAGACUGGGGAUCACUGGUUAAAAUAUUCUCAGAGAGGAUGAAAAAAGCUCCCACGUGUUUUUAACAAUAAUUUUGAUAACUUUUAUGACCAAAUUUAAAUUUUCUAUGCUUUGUAGCUCUUCAUAGACGGUUUUUCAUGUCUACAUCUAUGCAUAGGUGUGCAUAUUGCUGUUACAGAAUCUCUCUGUGACUGACUCCAGGUUCUUCCAAAAUGAAAUUAUUUGCUUAGCAAAGAUAUCUUAGGAUUUAGUAGUUGCAGUAGGAAAAAAAAAAAAAAUCAUCUUCACCCACAAUGCUUAAGCAUGCUCUGAUGCACAGAAAAUGCAGGAAUUUCUACCAGGGGAAGUUUAGGCUGGAUCUUAGGAAGAGAUUCUUCCCUCAUAGGGUGGUUGGGCACUGGAACAGGCUCCCUGGGGCAGUGGUCACAGAACCAAGCCUGACAGAGUCCAAAGAGUGUUUGGACCAUGGCCUCAGGCACAGGGUGGAUUUGUUGUGAUUGUCCUGUGCAUGGCCAGGGCUUUGAUGAUUCCUCCUUCUCUCCUCUAACUCAGAAUAUUCUAUGAUUCUAUGACAAAAAAGGUCAAAAGGAAAGUGAAAGCUUUUGUUGACAUGAAGAGUCAGCUGGUCUGCAUGGGCAGGAAGAAAACAAUUUACAUGGGCUUUGGUGUGACAGAGAAUUUUAAUCUUUUGGUACAUAAACCCAUCCUGGAUAUCAUGAUCACAAAAAAGGUGUUGCAACUGGGCAUGAAAUCUGGCUCUGAGACAGAUGCCUGGGACAAGCAGACUUUAAAUGUGACAAGGAACAGAGACAAAAGAAGUAGGCUGAAAUUCACCGUGUAAAGGGGUGUUUGAAAAGAGAUGAGAAAAAUGGUUACAACUUGGUUUUGAGCCAUGUAGAUAGUCAGAGCCCAGACCAGCCCCAGUCAGAAUCCUCAUCUGACCCCUGCCAUAAGUCCAGAGCCACAUUUCAGCUUGUUUUUGGGCCCUAGUAGCUGUGCUGGUUUAUUCACCCCUCCUGGAUCACCUUCCUUCUUGCAGCAGCUGAGGUGGAGCUGCAUAAGGAGCUCUCAGAAAUGGUUGUGACCAUCCUUAAAGGACUUAGAGGAAGGUCCAGGCCAUGUGGUUUUCACAAAAAAACACACCCUCAAAAUUAGAUGGUAUUUUUCAGCUUAGUGCUUUGUACCUCAAUAUCCCCACCUACAGAGUACAUUUUCAGUCGUGUUGUGAAUUUAAAUAUAUUCAUGCCUACAAAGCAGACAGAUGGUAUAUUGUUGAGAAUUGCUGAAAA
Long non-coding RNA from Haemorhous mexicanus (house finch), 4326 nucleotides. RefSeq lists it as uncharacterized. The record is from RefSeq and is a predicted model, not a curated record. Lineage: Eukaryota; Metazoa; Chordata; Aves; Passeriformes; Fringillidae. The transcript is spliced from 3 exons.